RNAcentral lists this small nuclear RNA (107 nucleotides) under Propithecus coquereli (Coquerel's sifaka). The record is from RNAcentral. Lineage: Eukaryota; Metazoa; Chordata; Mammalia; Primates; Indriidae.
GUGUUAGCUUCGGCAGCACAUAUACUAAAAUUGGAACAAAACAGAGAAGAUUAGCAUGGCCCCUGCACAAGGAUGACACACAAAUUCGUAAAGUGUUCCAUAUAUAA